Molecule: ribosomal RNA, 255 nt
Filed under: uncultured bacterium
Lineage: Bacteria
Description: partial 16S ribosomal RNA
Rfam family: Bacterial small subunit ribosomal RNA
Source: RNAcentral
UACGAAGGGGGCUAGCGUUGUUCGGAAUUACUGGGCGUAAAGCGUGCGCAGGCGGUUUUGUAAGCCAGAUGUGAAAUCCCCGGGCUUAACCUGGGAAUGGCAUUUGGGACUGCAAGGCUGGAGUGUGGCAGAGGGGACUGGGAAUACUUGGUGUAGCAGUGAAAUGCGUAGAUAUCAAGUGGAACACCAGUGGCGAAGGCGAGUCCCUGGACAACUCCGUGACACUGAGGCACGAAAGCUAGGGGAGCAAACAGG